UUUGGGCUAUGAUGACAAUGUUAUAAUCCCAGCUCUAUGAGACCUUUUUCAAGGUCUGGGAAUUGACUUUGUCCAGCAUUUGUCUGAGCUUUUAU
Molecule: small nucleolar RNA, 95 nt
Filed under: Jatropha curcas
Lineage: Eukaryota; Viridiplantae; Streptophyta; Magnoliopsida; Malpighiales; Euphorbiaceae
Source: RNAcentral